RNAcentral lists this unclassified non-coding RNA (817 nucleotides) under Hevea brasiliensis (rubber tree). Lineage: Eukaryota; Viridiplantae; Streptophyta; Magnoliopsida; Malpighiales; Euphorbiaceae. The record is from RNAcentral.
AUUAUGUCCUUUCACACUACACUCAUACGCUUACAUAAAGUUACAACGCUUCUUUUUCAGAAUAUUUAUUAUUAUCAAGGAACUUUGCAUGCCAUGCAAAAGCUAUGUUAAAGAUUUAAUCUAGGCAUGCCUGUUCAACUGCUAUUAUCAUUCUAUUAUGUUGUGCAGAUAAAAAUAAAAAAGAAAAGAUAAAAUGCCAUUGAAUUCUUUAGUUAAUAAUAUGUCAUUUUAAGUAAGUAUUCUCAUCAUCUUGAAUUAUUCUUCUUUUCACCUUUUCCUAGUUUCUAUAGAAUUGGGGUUGGGUUUUACUGGCCUGUUAACUUUUAUAUUCCUUUAGCACAUGCAUAGGUUCAAUAUGAGUUUUUGCUGCUAUUUCUCUUAUCUUUAAUUGAUCACUUCUUAUCCUUUGAACAAUGAAUUAAGCUUCUGUCAAUGCUAACAUACAUGUGAAGAUAUUUUUAUCAUAUCUGUAGAUUUUGGUCAUUGAAGAAAUUUAGUUUUUUCUGUUUUCUUGAAUAAGGAGAGAUUUUUCAAAACAGGCAUUAAUUUGGUCAAGCAACAUCCUCGUAGGAUUUUAUGUUGUAGUUCAAUUAGGUGAUAAUUUUCAAAUUUGAGGUUGCAGAAUCAUCUCCAGAUUCCUACCAAGUUUCAUUGUAUGGCUUUAACUGUUGUAUAUCCUGUUCUUUGAAUCAAGCUUUGAGGAUCUUUUUUCUUAAAAAAGAACAAAAAAAUCAUAUUCUGAAUCUAAAUAUCUUGAAAUAGGUGUUAAUGAAGGCUAUUUUACUGGUGCUGCAGGUGUCUGAUAUUUUUGUAGAGU